UACAUAUAGAAAAGUCUCACGGAAUUUUUUUGUUUAGUUGUCUAAAUCAGAAAUAAAAAAAAUGUAGAGAACACUGGUCAUGUUAUUUCUAAAAUUUUUAUUCUGUGUUCUUUUUUAAGGUAAAAGGCUCUAAUAUGACAACACAAUUUGUAAUUAGCUCUAUAAAUUUCAUGUAAUUGAUUUAUGCUUCUAAUAAAUCAUUUAGUUGUCUUUCCUCGAUAUUCUCUCAAAUUGUAAAUAUUAAGGUCGAAUAUAUUAUUCCACUAUAAACAUAUACUAUCUCUCUUUAUAUAUCAAACAUAUAAAUAUUUUUAAU
RNAcentral lists this long non-coding RNA (316 nucleotides) under Ananas comosus (pineapple). Its description in RNAcentral is "long non-coding RNA (ACOM_LNC028679)". The record is from RNAcentral. Lineage: Eukaryota; Viridiplantae; Streptophyta; Magnoliopsida; Poales; Bromeliaceae.